Molecule: ribosomal RNA, 499 nt
Filed under: Colletotrichum cf. gloeosporioides ROG-2010
Lineage: Eukaryota; Fungi; Ascomycota; Sordariomycetes; Glomerellales; Glomerellaceae
Description: eukaryotic LSU rRNA
Rfam family: 5.8S ribosomal RNA (bases 177-330)
Source: RNAcentral
AUUACUGAGUUUACGCUCUAUAACCCUUUGUGAACAUACCUAUAACUGUUGCUUCGGCGGGUAGGGUCUCCGCGACCCUCCCGGCCUCCCGCCUCCGGGCGGGUCGGCGCCCGCCGGAGGAUAACCAAACUCUGAUUUAACGACGUUUCUUCUGAGUGGUACAAGCAAAUAAUCAAAACUUUUAACAACGGAUCUCUUGGUUCUGGCAUCGAUGAAGAACGCAGCGAAAUGCGAUAAGUAAUGUGAAUUGCAGAAUUCAGUGAAUCAUCGAAUCUUUGAACGCACAUUGCGCCCGCCAGCAUUCUGGCGGGCAUGCCUGUUCGAGCGUCAUUUCAACCCUCAAGCUCUGCUUGGUGUUGGGGCCCUACAGCUGAUGUAGGCCCUCAAAGGUAGUGGCGGACCCUCCCGGAGCCUCCUUUGCGUAGUAACUUUACGUCUCGCACUGGGAUCCGGAGGGACUCUUGCCGUAAAACCCCCCAAUUCUCCAAAGGUUGACCUC